Non-coding RNA from Roridomyces roridus, 84 nucleotides. The record is from the annotation of a GenBank genome assembly. NCBI's taxonomy places the organism in Eukaryota, Fungi, Basidiomycota, Agaricomycetes, Agaricales, Mycenaceae.
UCCCUCUUAGCUCAGCUGGUAGAGCGUGUCACUAGUAACAAGUACGUUAUGACGAGGUCAGUCGUUCAAAUCGGCUAGCGGGAA